AAAUUGGACCAACUUACUGUGUUUUUCCUCACCAAGAGACACUGAAACACUCUUACCCUGGAAUAUUAAUACAUUUUGGGGAAGAAUCUGAAUAGUGUGCAGAAUUUGCCUGUCCAUUUAGAUUUGAGAGUUACUAAUAUGGUAGUGUCUCGCUACAUGCAGCUUUUCAAAAAAUAUGUUUGCUAGAAGGUUUGAGUAAUUUUACAUGAUCACAAUCUUUAAAUAAAUUUUUUCUGACCAAAAGGUACCAUUUAAGUGG
This 259-nucleotide long non-coding RNA is filed under the name Bos taurus (domestic cattle). Its description in RNAcentral is "long non-coding RNA NONBTAT000719". The record is from RNAcentral. Lineage: Eukaryota; Metazoa; Chordata; Mammalia; Artiodactyla; Bovidae.